Molecule: ribosomal RNA, 450 nt
Filed under: uncultured bacterium
Lineage: Bacteria
Description: partial 16S ribosomal RNA
Rfam family: Bacterial small subunit ribosomal RNA
Source: RNAcentral
GUGGGGAAUAUUGCACAAUGGGCGCAAGCCUGAUGCAGCCAUGCCGCGUGUGUGAAGAAGGCCUUCGGGUUGUAAAGUACUUUCAGCGGGGAGGAAGGCGAUAAGGUUAAUAACCUUGUCGAUUGACGUUACCCGCAGAAGAAGCACCGGCUAACUCCGUGCCAGCAGCCGCGGUAAUACGGAGGGUGCAAGCGUUAAUCGGAAUUACUGAGCGUAAAGCGCACGCAGGCGGUCUGUCAAGUCGGAUGUGAAAUCCCCGGGCUCAACGUGGGAACUGCAUUCGAAACUGGCAGGAUAGAGUCUUGUAGAGGGGGGUAGAAUUCCAGGUGUAGCGGUGAAAUGCGUAGAGAUCUGGAGGAAUACCGGUGGCGAAGGCGGCCCCCUGGACAAAGACUGACGCUAAGGUGCGAAAGCGUGGGGAGCAAACAGGAUUAGAAACCCUUGUAGUCC